This 497-nucleotide ribosomal RNA is filed under the name uncultured bacterium. RNAcentral describes it as "partial 16S ribosomal RNA". It matches the Rfam family "Bacterial small subunit ribosomal RNA", at positions 28 to 507 of the family's 1533-position model. The record is from RNAcentral.
GAUGAACGCUGGCGGCGUGCCUAAUACAUGCAAGUCGAGCGAACGGACGAGAAGCUUGCUUCUCUGAUGUUAGCGGCGGACGGGUGAGUAACACGUGGAUAACCUACCUAUAAGACUGGGAUAACUUCGGGAGACCGGAGCUAAUACCGGAUAAUAUUUUGAACCGCAUGGUUCAAAAGUGAAAGACGGUCUUGCUGUCACUUAUAGAUGGAUCCGCGCUGCAUUAGCUAGUUGGUAAGGUAACGGCUUACCAAGGCAACGAUGCAUAGCCGACCUGAGAGGGUGAUCGGCCACACUGGAACUGAGACACGGUCCAGACUCCUACGGGAGGCAGCAGUAGGGAAUCUUCCGCAAUGGGCGAAAGCCUGACGGAGCAACGCCGCGUGAGUGAUGAAGGUCUUCGGAUCGUAAAACUCUGUUAUUAGGGAAGAACAUAUGUGUAAGUAACUGUGCACAUCCUGACGGUACCUAAUCAGAAAGCCACGGCUAACUACGUG